Molecule: long non-coding RNA, 3462 nt
Filed under: Salvia miltiorrhiza (redroot sage)
Lineage: Eukaryota; Viridiplantae; Streptophyta; Magnoliopsida; Lamiales; Lamiaceae
Description: long non-coding RNA (SMIL_LNC000433)
Source: RNAcentral
CCUCCUCUCUUCUUUCGACUCGGUAUGCUCUCCAUCUUCCGAUUCAACCUCUGUCGCCUUCCCUCCUUUUCUUCUUCCAAUUCAGUCUGCAUAGAAAAAUAGCUCCAUAGGUGACAUGAUUUCUCCUUCUCCGAUGAAAAACAGAAACCGCGUCUCCUAUCGGACCUCAGAAAAAAUUACUCCAGCGAACUUACUAAAUUCGACGUCUUCACCACCCACCUGAUGGAUGAGAGGAGGUGACUUCUCCUUCGCCGAAGAAAAUAUCAAAAACGUCGACGACGACUCCUCUGGGCAAAUAAAAGGUCUGAAAAAUGGCCAAUAAUGGCUUCUACUUCCCCUCUCCUUGCUUUGUUGGUGUUCUUUAUUGUAAUUAGCGGUUUUUUUAUUGAUAGAUGAUAUUUGAACCGAAGAAAUCAACCAUUUCUCCAACAAAAAAAUUGCAGUAGAUGAUGUGAUUAAUUACCUGCAUAAUUUACUUUCUCUAUUUAGAUAGAAAUUAAUAGUCUUAAUUCAAGAUCACACAUUUUGAGUUGUUGGUGUAAUUGAUUACCUGCAUAAUUUACUUUCUCUAUUUAAUAUUUCUGCCGCUCUCUCUAUCAUUUAUAUUUUCGCCAAGCCCACACCUUUCUCUAUUUUUUCUGCAACAGCCAGAUCCGAGGAAAGAACGAAAUACAGGUAUAUAUUAGUAUUAGUUUUUCUUAUGUGUCUAUUGUAGUUGAUUUUCUGAAUUUAUACUAAUCUUGGUAUAAUUUUUUUUCAGUGACCUGUUCUUUGAAUUUUAAACAUCUACUAAGGAAGUUAUUAUAACUGUUCAACAAGCUUUCAAUCUUGAGCAUACAAUGAAAAAAUUGGGUUCGUUUGGUCUUCCUGCUUUAUGUAUAGGUCAGAGUCUAUACAGAAAAAUAAUCUACAAGAUAAGAAUCAGAUCAAUAUAUACACUAUAUUUUGAUACCAAUUUUUUUCACUCAUUUUCAUUUAAUUUGUUUUUAUUACUUUUUCUCAUAUGUUUAUUUUCAGUUUUCGCAGAAUUUGGGAUGAACUGGGAGAAGAACUGGAGAGAUCUCCGAAUAUCUAUUGAUAGGUAAAAAUUUUAUUUUUAUCUUUUUUAAAAUGUUAUUUGCUCUUAUUUCCUGUAUAUGCCUUUUUGAUCCAAAACUUUUCAAGUGCUUUAUUUUACUGUAGCUUGCAGUGUUGACUCACUUCUGUAUGAUUUUUAUUUGUGGUGCAGGAAGAGUCUAUAUCCUUGAUAUGUACAAUCGAGCUAUAUAUAUCCAUUGGUAAGUUAUCUAAUGAUAUAUUCAUUAUAAACCUCCUUCUUGGCUAUGAAAUUUUGAAGAGAAAAAGAUAAUACAGAAAAGAUAUCUUCAGUAGAUAGUCAUUUCUUUUUUGGUUCCUUUAUGUUUUUGUUGUAUAAAUUCAUCUAAGGUUUUUGAACAUCAAUGCUAUAUGAGGGAAACAUCACCUGCUUUUAUGAAUACGAUUAACGAUUAUUUUCUUUACGUGACUGACAAACAUGGUUUUCGUACCUCAAUAUCGCAUGAAUUGUUGUCAUUUCCCCCCAUGAAUUGAUUGCUAAUAUGUGUUUGUAUCCCAAUUUUGAGUUUUGUUGAGUUUUAAUUCCUUGGUGUAGUUUUGGAGUGAUUUCAGGGAAAAUCAAGAAUUAAUUGGAGGAUUUUGAAGACAUGAGAUCGAAGUACGUCUCGAGAGGAAUCCGUGAGCGCAAACGGCGACCAAAUCCGAGUCCGGACGAGGGAGAACGGAGCAAAACGAGCGGACUGUGCAAAACGCCCAGUACCCCGCGGUCACCACCCGCGGCCGCGGGGUAAGACCGCGGGUCAGCUGUUCCCGAAUCAGGAGACACCCGCGGUCACCAACCGCGGCCGCGGGGCGGGACCGCGGGUCCCCUGAGCAUCCCCCACGUUUGAAGGCCGCGGACGCGGGCCGUGACCGCGGGAAAAGGGCGGGGCUCCCCCAAAUGGACCCCAAACGCGAUUUUAGCCUCAAAACUCCAUUUUUCUCUUCCUUUCCCCAUUCAUUCACCACACACACCCACUUCAUCUUCCCCAACUCUCCAAUCCCAAACCCUAGCCUCCAUUCUCUACCAUUUUUUCUCUCUUCCACACACAAAAACAACACCAAAAUCAAAUAAAGAAGGGGAAGACUUGGAAAGGAGCUCAUCAAGACUACAUGAUUGAAGAUCAAGAUUAUAGGAUUUGUCUAUGAAUCUCUAUCUCUCUAUAUCUUUAUUUAUGUUUUCUUAUGACUUGAGAUUUGCUUUUAUUAUGAAUAUGCUUGGCUAAAAUCUCUUAUCUUAGGGAUUAGAUUAGAUGGAUUUGUAAUGAAUUGAUUUCUUUGUUCAAUAUAUAUCUUGAUUGUGCUUAUUGUUAUCUUUUCAAGUCCUAGAUUUAUCUCUUGUAUGAUUGGUUGGCCACCUUUUGUGCAUUUCUAAUUUGUGAUUUGAAUCGGGAGAGGAUAAUUACAAUAGAUUAGGAGUUUGAUACAUAUCAUCUCAAUAAACCGGGAGGUUGAGAGUUGGGUGAGGGCUUGUUGAUCUUUUGUGCUCUUGGGAGUUAUAGGUUAGAAAUUGACCGGGGACGGCAAUUAUGACCCGUAAUCUACUGUUUUAGUCGUCCGGGAGGGGGCUAAAACUAGUGGGGAGAUCGCCCUAGAUAAGUAGGCCAUAUCAAGAUUUAUAUUGAUUUAGAUUGAAGUUCAUUACGAUCCAUCGAAAUCUAGUCCCUAGGAUAACUUUCAUUCAAGUCAUUCCCCAAUUUAUUCACUAAGUUUAUGUUAUUGUUAUUUACUUUUCUUGCUUUAUUUAGUUUUGUUUUAGUUAUCAAUACCUCUUGAACUUUGGUUGUCUAAAUAGAUUGAAAACAACUUAUUAAUAAUAUUUAGAAGUUUAAAUUCACCAAUCCUUGUGGAAUACGACCUUGCUUCCCUUAUAUUGCAACUACACCGUACACUUGCGGCGUGGUGAAAAUAAUAGACAUCACCUGCUUUUAUGAAUACGAUUAACGAUUAUUUUCUUUACGUGACGGAUUAUGAAGGCAGAAGAUAUAUCACUAGGCCCAAUGAUUCUAAUGUAUUGGUGAGCCUUGCUUGUGGUAGUCUUUCUGGAAUUGCAUCAUCAACAGUUGGGCAGCUUAUAAUGGUUAUCGAGUUAUAUAUUACAACUUGAAGCAUUUCUAUUUUAUUAGUUGAGUUGAAGGUUGCCUUCAUUUUCCACAUUUAGUCUUGAUAUUUGUCUUCUUGAACUGUUAACUCAUCCUUUGUGGAGUGUCGUGUUUUCAAGUAAAGUUUGAUACACAAUCGUGGUUUUAAUUUGCAGAUUUUGUAAUUUGUUGGAAUUGGAAUCAAAUAAUCAGCUCAUAACUCAAUAAAGAAGGGAUUAAGAGCUGCAGUCUGCAGAUCGUUUUUGGGGAUUGCAAUACUAAGAAAGAGGUUGGAUUUAUAUUCAUG